CAGCAGCCGCGGUAAAACGUAGGGUGCAAGCGUUAAUCGGAAUUACUGUGCGUAAAGCGUGCGCAGGCGGUUUGUUAAGACAGAUGUGAAAUCCCCGGGCUCAACCUGGGAACUGCAUUUGUGACUGGCAAGCUAGAGUGUGGCAGAGGGGGGUGGAAUUCCGCGUGUAGCAGUGAAAUGCGUAGAUAUGCGGAGGAACACCGAUGGCGAAGGCAGCCCCCUGGGCCAACACUGACGCUCAUGCACGAAAGCGUGGGGAGCAAACAGGAUUAGAUACCCCUGUAGUCCCUGUCUCUUAUAC
RNAcentral lists this ribosomal RNA (301 nucleotides) under uncultured bacterium. Its description in RNAcentral is "partial 16S ribosomal RNA". It matches the Rfam family "Bacterial small subunit ribosomal RNA", at positions 509 to 807 of the family's 1533-position model. The record is from RNAcentral.